This 2172-nucleotide long non-coding RNA is filed under the name Lathyrus oleraceus (garden pea). Its description in RNAcentral is "Pisum sativum (pea) long non-coding RNA (PSAT_LNC020773)". The record is from RNAcentral. Lineage: Eukaryota; Viridiplantae; Streptophyta; Magnoliopsida; Fabales; Fabaceae.
AAAAAGCAGAUUAAAAAAGCCAUUAUAAAUUAAAACUCCAAGUGCUUGCUUACUUAAGAAUAAGAUUUACAUGCAAAAUAACAGCCUUUCACCAAAGUUCUUGAUUAGGCAACACUGAAAGAACUUGCAGUGUCCUCCACAAACUUUCUUGCUCCCUUAAACCACCUCUUGUCACCAGCUUGAGCCUUGCAGAUGUAUAAUUUUCCAUCCUUUACAGUUGCUGUAAUCAGCUGAUGCUUUCCACCUUCAUCUCCAUCAGCAGUCCUUGUCAAUACCGAAAUGUUGUAAUACUGUUUUCCACCAAUCACUGGUGCUGAGCUCUCUAAGAUGUUUGCAACAGCUACAGCAUUUGUAUCGAAACCUCCCUGAGGAAAUUCAAGUUAAGAAAUAGUUGAAUGAAAUGCAAAUGCAAAAGUUACAACCGAUACUUAAAACCAAAGGCAUGUCUGGUGUUCGACACGUGUGAGUGUCUGACAUCAACAUGACAUUGGUACAUGUGGUUUACAUUCAAUCACUUCAAUUUUCUCAAAUAAUGAAUGACAUUUACGUGUCAAUGUCGUGUCUGAAGUCUGCGUUUAAGUCAUAAUGCAUGGUUGUCAUAAAUCAUCAGCAAAUUACCUCUGAAUCAGUUUGUCCAAAGAAGGCUUGUUUUCCAAGCAAAUAGUCCACCUGCAAAGAGGAAAACCAAAUCUUCAAUUUCAACAAAGAUAUGUUGUUUUUGCCUUUAAAACUCAAAGGCAUUGUUCAUUUGAAUAUUGGAAGUUUCACUCAAAACCAAUGCACAUUUAUUGGUUUAUAUUGUUCACGUUCCUUCCUUAUAUAAAAACGAAUUCUGCCAUUCGCUGCAAAAAUCAUCAAAAAAUACUUUUCUUUGUCAGAUGAAAUCCAUAGAUAACUCCUACUAGUGUCAAUCUUAUUUGCAACCAAAAAAUGACAAAUUUAGAAAUGUGAAGUUAUGGUGAAAAUACAGACAUGAUUUAAUCUAUUAGUUGUCUCGGAUAGUUGUGCAUAGACAUCUGAUUGUAGGGGCUCAGGGUCAAACUCCCGACAUAGUUAUUGAUAUUUAUGAGUUGAAAUUUCAACCAUUAUGCUAUUCGACCAUAAAACAAAAAACAUGUCUAUAUUGAUGAUUUUAUCAAAAUAUUAUUAGUAUAGACAGAAAAGAAGCAAAAGUUAGAGAUUGUUUUAAGACCUUAGAUAGGAACUCUUCAGGUGAACCAUAGUCAGUGAUGGACUUCUUAUCAGUUGUUUGGACUAAAACCGAAACAUUGCUUGUUGCAUCAAAAUUAUCCUCAUAUCUAAGAACCUGACCAGGGAACUCUCUCUCUUUGCUUGGAUUCCAUUUUGCUGGCACCAGCAGCUUGAAUCCAUCUCCAUUGUAUGGCAAGUAAUCUGUGUUUGUCUUUGCCUUUCCAAACACAUUAGCUGAAACCAAAAUAAUAAAUCAAACAAAGCAUUUUCUCAACAAUGAAUGCAAAUAUUUCACUUUAAGCUCACUCACAUUCAUGAGUUAUGAUCAUCAUGCCAAGAUAUAGUUGAUUCAAUUUGGAUUCUAUGCAGUCACAUAUAAUUCUAAAUUGUAUUUAAAGUAAUAUAGUAAAAUAACACUGGGUCAUCUUAUCUUUGUCAAACGGUGAAAAUCCACUGACUAUGUAACUAGUCACGGUUUGACAAAAGAUCAUAUGACUCAUAUUGUAAAAAGAGUAUUUGAAAAUAUACCAGCUUCUCCAUAAGCAGCAUCUGCAGGUGAAACCUUGGAGCCAACAGCAGCAGCACCAAUGAGAACAGAAAGUGCUAACCUACGAGACACAACAGCAUCAACAACAUCAUCUUGUUUCUGUGCCUUGCAAACAAUAUGGUUUGGUUUGGUGGUAACUACUUGGCGUUGAGAUAAGGUUCUAGUUGGAGUUGUAAUAGCAUAUUGGUGGUGCAAGAAACAUUGUGUAGAUGCCAUUUUUCUUAAGAGUAUGCUAUAGUUUAAUUUUUUUCUUGUGAAUUUGACACUCUAAGAGUAAAGGCUUUUAGUGUUUGUGAAGUUUGAAUUGGAUUUAGAUAUGGUGUAUCUGAUGUGGCAAUGAACAUGUGGUUGGUUUUGGAUAUUGGAUUUGAAUGGAUGAUUUGUAACAUUUGAUAGCAUUGGUGAUGUGGGAUAAGGUUGUGAGGGCUGUGAUU